UACGUAGGGUGCGAGCGUUAUUCGGAAUUACUGGGCGUAAAGCGUGCGCAGGCGGUUUUGUAAGUCAGAUGUGAAAUCCCCGGGCUCAACCUGGGAAUGGCAUUUGGGACUGCAAGGCUGGAGUUUGGCAGAGGAGACUGGAAUUCCUGGUGUAGCAGUGAAAUGCGUAGAUAUCAGGAGGAAUACCGAUGGCGAGGGCGCCUACCUGGCCUGUUUCUUGACGCUGAGGCGCGAAAGCUAGGGGAGCAAACGGG
RNAcentral lists this ribosomal RNA (254 nucleotides) under uncultured bacterium. RNAcentral's name for it is "partial 16S ribosomal RNA". It matches the Rfam family "Bacterial small subunit ribosomal RNA", at positions 524 to 776 of the family's 1533-position model. The record is from RNAcentral.